GAUGAACGCUGGCGGCGUGCCUAAUACAUGCAAGUCGAGCGAACAGAUGAGGAGCUUGCUCCUCUGACGUUAGCGGCGGACGGGUGAGUAACACGUGGAUAACCUACCUAUAAGACUGGGAUAACUUCGGGAAACCGGAGCUAAUACCGGAUAAUAUAUUGAACCGCAUGGUUCAAUAGUGAAAGUCGGUUUUGCUGUCACUUAUAGAUGGAUCCGCGCCGCAUUAGCUAGUUGGUAAGGUAACGGCUUACCAAGGCAACGAUGCGUAGCCGACCUGAGAGGGUGAUCGGCCAGACGGGAACUGAGACACGGUCCAGACUCCGAGAGGAGGCAGCAGUAGGGAAUCUUCCGCAAUGGGCGAAAGCCUGACGGAGCAACGCCGCGUGAGUGAUGAAGGUCUUCGGAUCGUAAAACUCUGUUAUUAGGGAAGAACAAAUGUGUAAGUAACUAUGCACGUCUUGACGGUACCUAAUCAGAAAGCCACGGCUAACUACGUG
Molecule: ribosomal RNA, 497 nt
Filed under: uncultured bacterium
Lineage: Bacteria
Description: partial 16S ribosomal RNA
Rfam family: Bacterial small subunit ribosomal RNA
Source: RNAcentral